This 282-nucleotide ribosomal RNA is filed under the name uncultured bacterium. Its description in RNAcentral is "partial 16S ribosomal RNA". It matches the Rfam family "Bacterial small subunit ribosomal RNA", at positions 28 to 308 of the family's 1533-position model. The record is from RNAcentral.
GAUGAACGCUAGCGGCAGGCCUAAUACAUGCAAGUCGAGGGGCAGCACGGGUAGCAAUACUGGGUGGCGACCGGCGCACGGGUGCGUAACACGUAUGUAAUCUGCCCUUAACUGGAGGAUGGCCCGGAGAAAUCCGGAUUAAUACUCCAUAGUCUAACUGAGUGGCAUCACUUGGUUAGUAAAGCUCCGGCGGUUAAGGAUGAACAUGCGACUGAUUAGCUGUUGGUGAGGUAACGGCUCACCAAGGCUACGAUCAGUAGGGGUACUAAGAGGUUACACCCC